GAGUGUAUAGCUCAGUGGUAGAGUGCCUGCUUAGCAUGCAUAAGGUUCUGGGUUCAAUCCCCAGUACCUCCA
RNAcentral lists this transfer RNA (72 nucleotides) under Camelus bactrianus (Bactrian camel). It matches the Rfam family "tRNA". Rfam says of the family: Transfer RNA (tRNA) molecules are approximately 80 nucleotides in length. Their secondary structure includes four short double-helical elements and three loops (D, anti-codon, and T loops). Lineage: Eukaryota; Metazoa; Chordata; Mammalia; Artiodactyla; Camelidae. RNAcentral also lists the same sequence under 3 other names. The record is from Rfam by way of RNAcentral.